Molecule: ribosomal RNA, 114 nt
Filed under: Saimiri boliviensis boliviensis (Bolivian squirrel monkey)
Lineage: Eukaryota; Metazoa; Chordata; Mammalia; Primates; Cebidae
Source: RNAcentral
AUCUAUGGCUAUACCACCCUGAGCCCGAUCUCGUCUGAUCUUGGAAGGUAGCAGGGUUGGGCCUGGUUAGUACUUGGAUGGGAGACCGCCUGGGAAUACAGGGAGCUGUAGGCA